GGGAAACCGAGUCUUAAUUGGGCGUUAAGUUGCAGGGUAUAGACCCGAAACCCGGUGAUCUAGCCAUGGGCAGGUUGAAGGUUGGGUAACACUAACUGGAGGACCGAACCGACUAAUGUUGAAAAAUUAGCGGAUGACCUGUGGCUGGGGGUGAAAGGCCAAUCAAACCGGGAGAUAGCUGGUUCUCCCCGAAAGCUAUUUAGGUAGCGCCUCGUGAAUUCAUCUCCGGGGGUAGAGCACUGUUUCGGCUAGGGGGCCAUCCCGGCUUACCAACCCGAUGCAAACUGCGAAUACCGGAGAAUGUUAUCACGGGAGACACACGGCGGGUGCUAACGUCCGUCGUGAAGAGGGAAACAACCCAGACCGCCAGCUAAGGUCCCAAAGUCAUGGUUAAGUGGGAAACGAUGUGGGAAGGCCCAGACAGCCAGGAUGUUGGCUUAGAAGCAGCCAUCAUUUAAAGAAAGCGUAAUAGCUCACUGGUCGAGUCGGCCUGCGCGGAAGAUGUAACGGGGCUAAACCAUGCACCGAAGCUGCGGCAGCGACACUGUGUGUUGUUGGGUAGGGGAGCGUUCUGUAAGCCUGCGAAGGUGGCCUGUGAGGGUUGCUGGAGGUAUCAGAAGUGCGAAUGCUGACAUAAGUAACGAUAAAGCGGGUGAAAAGCCCGCUCGCCGGAAGACCAAGGGUUCCUGUCCAACGUUAAUCGGGGCAGGGUGAGUCGACCCCUAAGGCGAGGCCGAAAGGCGUAGUCGAUGGGAAACGGGUUAAUAUUCCCGUACUUGGUGUUACUGCGAAGGGGGGACGGAGAAGGCUAUGUUGGCCGGGCGACGGUUGUCCCGGUUUAAGCGUGUAGGUGUGUGUUCCAGGUAAAUCCGGUUCACUUUAACACUGAGGCGUGACGACGAGGCACUACGGUGCUGAAGCAACAAAUGCCCUGCUUCCAGGAAAAGCCUCUAAGCAUCAGGUAACAUCAAAUCGUACCCCAAACCGACACAGGUGGUCAGGUAGAGAAUACCAAGGCGCUUGAGAGAACUCGGGUGAAGGAACUAGGCAAAAUGGUGCCGUAACUUCGGGAGAAGGCACGCUGACACGUAGGUGAAGUGAUUUACUCAUGGAGCUGAAGUCAGUCGAAGAUACCAGCUGGCUGCAACUGUUUAUUAAAAACACAGCACUGUGCAAACACGAAAGUGGACGUAUACGGUGUGACGCCUGCCCGGUGCCGGAAGGUUAAUUGAUGGGGUCAGCGCAAGCGAAGCUCCUGAUCGAAGCCCCGGUAAACGGCGGCCGUAACUAUAACGGUCCUAAGGUAGCGAAAUUCCUUGUCGGGUAAGUUCCGACCUGCACGAAUGGCGUAAUGAUGGCCAGGCUGUCUCCACCCGAGACUCAGUGAAAUUGAACUCGCUGUGAAGAUGCAGUGUACCCGCGGCAAGACGGAAAGACCCCGUGAACCUUUACUAUAGCUUGACACUGAACAUUGAGCCUUGAUGUGUAGGAUAGGUGGGAGGCUUUGAAGUGUGGACGCCAGUCUGCAUGGAGCCGACCUUGAAAUACCACCCUUUAAUGUUUGAUGUUCUAACGUGGACCCGUUACCCGGGUUGCGGACAGUGUCUGGUGGGUAGUUUGACUGGGGCGGUCUCCUCCUAAAGAGUAACGGAGGAGCACGAAGGUUGGCUAAUCCUGGUCGGACAUCAGGAGGUUAGUGCAAUGGCAUAAGCCAGCUUGACUGCGAGCGUGACGGCGCGAGCAGGUGCGAAAGCAGGUCAUAGUGAUCCGGUGGUUCUGAAUGGAAGGGCCAUCGCUCAACGGAUAAAAGGUACUCCGGGGAUAACAGGCUGAUACCGCCCAAGAGUUCAUAUCGACGGCGGUGUUUGGCACCUCGAUGUCGGCUCAUCACAUCCUGGGGCUGAAGUAGGUCCCAAGGGUAUGGCUGUUCGCCAUUUAAAGUGGUACGCGAGCUGGGUUUAGAACGUCGUGAGACAGUUCGGUCCCUAUCUGCCGUGGGCGCUGGAGAACUGAGGGGGGCUGCUCCUAGUACGAGAGGACCGGAGUGGACGCAUCACUGGUGUUCGGGUUGUCAUGCCAAUGGCACUGCCCGGUAGCUAAAUGCGGAAGAGAUAAGUGCUGAAAGCAUCUAAGCACGAAACUUGCCCCGAG
Molecule: ribosomal RNA, 2151 nt
Filed under: Salmonella enterica subsp. enterica serovar Enteritidis
Lineage: Bacteria; Pseudomonadati; Pseudomonadota; Gammaproteobacteria; Enterobacterales; Enterobacteriaceae
Description: partial 23S ribosomal RNA
Rfam family: Bacterial large subunit ribosomal RNA
Source: RNAcentral